CACCCUGGCAAUGGGUAAAGAGACACUUUGUUAGUGAUGCUGUUCUCAUAUCAGUCAGGGGCAAAGCAGAUGGCAGCUCUUUGUUCAUCUUAGCUUGAUUGAUAUCUGGUUUUGUUAGCCAAAGCUGUUGGAUGCCUAGGACACAUAA
This is a small nucleolar RNA of Acomys russatus (golden spiny mouse), 148 nucleotides long. RefSeq annotates it as small nucleolar RNA SNORA48. The transcript has a single exon. Lineage: Eukaryota; Metazoa; Chordata; Mammalia; Rodentia; Muridae. The record is from RefSeq and is a predicted model, not a curated record.